GCACUGAAACACUGGUUCCCAUAUGAUCACUGAAUUUAAGCAACAUCAAGCCUAGUCAGUACCUAGAUGGGUGACUGUUUGGGAAUACCAGGUGCUGUAAG
Molecule: ribosomal RNA, 101 nt
Filed under: Acanthosepion pharaonis
Lineage: Eukaryota; Metazoa; Mollusca; Cephalopoda; Sepiida; Sepiidae
Source: RNAcentral